RNAcentral lists this ribosomal RNA (455 nucleotides) under uncultured bacterium. Its description in RNAcentral is "partial 16S ribosomal RNA". It matches the Rfam family "Bacterial small subunit ribosomal RNA", at positions 355 to 827 of the family's 1533-position model. The record is from RNAcentral.
UGGGGAAUAUUGGACAAUGGGGGCAACCCUGAUCCAGCAAUGCCGCGUGUGUGAAGAAGGUCUUCGGAUUGUAAAGCACUUUCGACGGGGACGAUGAUGACGGUACCCGUAGAAGAAGCCCCGGCUAACUUCGUGCCAGCAGCCGCGGUAAUACGAAGGGGGCUAGCGUUGCUCGGAAUGACUGGGCGUAAAGGGCGUGUAGGCGGUUUACACAGUCAGAUGUGAAAUCCCCGGGCUUAACCUGGGAGCUGCAUUUGAUACGUGUAGACUAGAGUGUGAGAGAGGGUUGUGGAAUUCCCAGUGUAGAGGUGAAAUUCGUAGAUAUUGGGAAGAACACCGGUGGCGAAGGCGGCAACCUGGCUCAUGACUGACGCUGAGGCGCGAAAGCGUGGGGAGCAAACAGGAUUAGAUACCCUGGUAGUCCACGCUGUAAACGAUGUGUGCUAGAUGUUGGG